This 472-nucleotide ribosomal RNA is filed under the name uncultured bacterium. RNAcentral's name for it is "bacterial SSU rRNA". It matches the Rfam family "Bacterial small subunit ribosomal RNA", at positions 28 to 507 of the family's 1533-position model. The record is from RNAcentral.
GACGAACGCUGGCGGCGUGCCUAACACAUGCAAGUCGAGCGGGGUCCAACCAGUGGCAACACUGGGGACGACCUAGCGGCGAACGGGUGAGUAACACGUGAGGAACCUGCCCCGAAGACCGGGAUAACCCGAGGAAACUCGAGCUAAUACCGGAUACCCCCACGAGAUCGCAUGGGUCUUGUGAGGAAAUGUCUUUUCGCUUCGGGAGGGCCUCGCGGCCUAUCAGCUAGUUGGCGGGGUAACGGCCCACCAAGGCAUCGACGGGUAGCUGGUCUGAGAGGACGAUCAGCCACACUGGGACUGAGACACGGCCCAGACUCCUACGGGAGGCAGCAGUGGGGGAAUCUUUGCGCAAUGGGCGAAAGCCUGACGCAGCAACGCCGCGUGGGGGACGAAGGCUCUCGGGUUGUAAACCCCUUUCAGGAGGGACGAAAUUGACGGUACCUCCAGAAGAAGCCCCGGCAACUACGUG